Molecule: ribosomal RNA, 433 nt
Filed under: uncultured bacterium
Lineage: Bacteria
Description: partial 16S ribosomal RNA
Rfam family: Bacterial small subunit ribosomal RNA
Source: RNAcentral
GGUGAACGCUGGCGGUGCGUCUAAUACAUGCAAGUCGAGCGCGGCUUCGAGCCGAGCGGCAGACGGCUGAGUGACACGUUGGUAACUACCUCAAACUCAAGGAUAACGCCGAGAAAUCGGUGCUAAUACCGGAUGGUCCCGUAAGGGUAAAGUUUUUACGGUUUGAGAGGUGCCUGCGUCCUAUCAGGUAGUUGGUGAGGUAACGGCUCACCAAGCCUAUGACGGGUAACUGGUCUGAGAGGAUGACCAGUCAGAGGGAAACUGAGACACGGGUCCCACUUCUACGGAAGGCAGCAGUAAAGUAACUGCAACAAUGGACGAAAGUCAGAUGGAGCGACGGCGCGUGCAGGAUGGAUGCCCGUGGGGCGUAAACUGCUUUUUUGGGGGAAAAAUUCUGACUGUACCUUAAGAAUAAGCACCGGCAAAUCACGUG